Molecule: long non-coding RNA, 243 nt
Filed under: Gossypium barbadense (sea-island cotton)
Lineage: Eukaryota; Viridiplantae; Streptophyta; Magnoliopsida; Malvales; Malvaceae
Description: long non-coding RNA (GBAR_LNC012549)
Source: RNAcentral
CGACCUUUAAUUGCGGGCUGCAGCAUCGACUGGGCUACAGUAGAACAAGUUUAGUUGGCUGAUGCGAUUUGGGCCCUCCUAACCACCGACCCUUGGGAGCUUUUCUUUGGGAUCAUCGAGCCGACGUAUCUCAAGCUCACGAUGGAAUUAUGCUCCACAUUUCAUCUUUAGACCGUGAUGACGAACUACGAUGAUUCCGGCACGGUGCAAUUUUGCCUAGGUGGAUUAGUCCACCAACUCAGC